AAACCGCUCAGAGGUAAACGGGUGGAUCCGCAAAGUCGACCCGCGGAAUUCAGCGCGGCGCGCAGACCUGGGCUGCUGUGGUUUGGGAUCUCUCGGACCCGACCACGGUGUCGACCGGGUCUCCGCCGCGUGCACUUUCCGCGGGCAGGAUGCCACAACCGGUUCGGUGGCGGCUACAAGCUUUGGAGAUUGUAGGUCGGGGCGCUUGCGUCCUACCAGCCUUCAUUGUCGAGCCGCCCUCCGGACCGAGAGACCGCCGCGCGCUUCGAGGCCACCCUCUCCUCCUCAUGAGUAUGACUGGGAGAGACUGGGCAACCGUGUCUCCCGACUGCUGAUCUGUGAUCGGCGUGGGUCUGGCCGGGCGCGCACCGUCAGGGUUAGUGGCGAAUCUGUCGGCAUUCCACCCGACCCGUCUUGAA
RNAcentral lists this ribosomal RNA (419 nucleotides) under Corneosagda ptychodes. Its description in RNAcentral is "partial 28S ribosomal RNA". The record is from RNAcentral. Lineage: Eukaryota; Metazoa; Mollusca; Gastropoda; Stylommatophora; Sagdidae.